Molecule: long non-coding RNA, 583 nt
Organism: Homo sapiens (human)
Lineage: Eukaryota; Metazoa; Chordata; Mammalia; Primates; Hominidae
Product: long intergenic non-protein coding RNA 609
Source: Ensembl
AGCACAAAGAACAAAACUAUUUAAAGACCACACACAUACCCUCUCAAACAAAUCACCUCCCUUUGGGAAAGCAACAUGUUCACUGUGAUAAUUCAGCAUCAGGACCUGAGGUGGUGGGAACAGCUUUGGCUGGUUUGCUGCUCUCCAAGGAGCUCCUGUGCCGGCCGCAUUGGACAAGCAUCUCUGCCCUGCGGCGCAGAGUCUCCAGGACCAGCAGAUGGCGGACUUGCACAGUCCACACAUUUUCCAGGUUCUCAAGUGUUCGCUUCCUGGAUGUUCUGACUAAUUUAAACUAUGGUUAAUUGAAGACUGAAAUAUUCGGGAAACUAUGACAGGAACAAUUUGCUACGGACAGUUUCCACCUGUACUCUCAAGACUUAGAAGCCAUAUGGAUAGAAUGAAAUAGGAUCCCAUCAUUCUCGGCCCAUCUCGCCCAUCUCAAGUCAUUUUUGCCCUCUCCCCACGUGCAGUCAGAAGACUGGAAGUGGAGGUGUGAGCAGUAGAUAGAGCAGUUUAUAAGACAAUGUUAAGACCAUGAUGAAAAGACAUUAGAGGAAGCAGGAAAAAAGAAUAUGCGACACUU